AUAACAGCUCCAGUUGCUCCUGCGUGUCUUGGAGCUUACAGCAGACCUGUUUACUGUUAGUCUUAACGUGGAGGAGGUGCUGGGUAUGUCUGGUUGUCCAUCUGUGCCUGCCACCAGGGCUCUGCAGGAAGCAUUGCUGAUCACAGAAUCACGGAAUCAUAGGGGUUGGAAGGGACCUCUAGAAAUCAUCAAGUCCAACCCCCUGCUAAAACAGGCUCGCUACAGUAGGUUGCACAGGACCCUGUUGGAUAUCUAAGGAGAGUAAAUGGACACAGCUUGCAAGCUGCUGGGAGUCUGGAGUUUGUCUGCCUUGAGUGCUUGUGAAUACAGCGGAGUUUUGUUUGAAAGGAACCUCACUUGCAAACAAAUUUCCAGUGUUAUAUCUGAAAUGAAAUGCUCAGGAAGACGAAUGAACAGCCCCUGCAAUAAGUAGAUACAGAGACUUCUCCAAGAGAUUCUCCUUGCCUCAACCUCCAGUUAUUAGUGGCCACCCUGUCUUUGUGAAGUGCUGCUUUGCCUUUUGUGUGGUCAGUUCCAGCAUAUCCUUACUGCCCAAGUGUUUGGACCGGUGCUGUGCUGCUCAUCCACCUUCUGGCUGGCCCUCAUGGAGUGCCCUUACUCUCUAGAUGCCAUCGAUACAUUUCACCUUCAUCAAUAAAGAUUCCUACCUUGCUGCUUUUUCAGGCAGAAAAGCACAUUCAGUAUUUCCCAGUAUUUAUGAGGGCUUUCCUACAG
Molecule: long non-coding RNA, 735 nt
Organism: Gallus gallus (chicken)
Lineage: Eukaryota; Metazoa; Chordata; Aves; Galliformes; Phasianidae
Source: Ensembl